RNAcentral lists this ribosomal RNA (1074 nucleotides) under Triticum aestivum (bread wheat). RNAcentral's name for it is "partial small subunit ribosomal RNA". Lineage: Eukaryota; Viridiplantae; Streptophyta; Magnoliopsida; Poales; Poaceae. The record is from RNAcentral.
AUGGAGGCCCUCGCCGGCGCCGCCGCCUCGUCCGCGCUCCUCCCUGCCUUCCCCGCCCACCAGCCUCACUCCCGCGUGGCCCUCCGCGCCCGCCCCUGCGGGCCCCUCCGCGCGGCCGCCGGAGGCGGAGGCAAGGACGACGCCGCGAAGCCGAACGGGACUCCCGUCGUCAAGUUGAAGGUUGAUCCAAGUCAAAAUGGAGCUCUCGGUCCGGUCGCAACUGACAAGUCACGCACGACCUCAUCAACCAAUUCAACUCCCGACUCAAGCGGAUCCAGAGCUGGCUUGUUCAGAACCCCUAUAUCUGGUGGUGUGCAGAGUGCAACUUUUGCCCAUGGUUUACCUCCACCAGCUUUGGCUGUUCGCAAUUUAAUGGAACAGGCGCGAUUUGCUCAUCUAUGCACUGUCAUGUCUGGCAUGCAUCAUCGACGCGCUGGAUAUCCAUUUGGUUCACUUGUUGACUUUGCUAAUGACUCAAUGGGCCACCCAAUAUUUUCUCUGUCGCCCUUAGCAAUCCACACCAGAAACUUGCUCUCUGAUCCAAGAUGCACACUUGUUGUCCAGGUACCUGGAUGGAGUGGAUUGUCUAAUGCUCGUGUCACAAUAUUUGGUGAUGUCUACCCUUUGCCAGCUGAACAACAGGAAUGGGCACAUAAGCAAUAUGUUGCAAAACAUCAACAAUGGGCGUCUCAACAGUGGGGAAAUUUUUACUACUACAGGAUGCAGAAUAUCAGCGACAUAUAUUUUAUUGGAGGCUUUGGCACUGUUGCAUGGGUAGAUGUGAAACAGUAUGAAACUAUUCAACCUGACAAGAUAGCAGUUGACGGCGGCGAGCAAAGCUUAAAGGAGUUGAAUGCUAUUUUCUCUAAACCACUUAGAGAGUUCAUGUCUGCUGAAGGGGAGGUUGACGAUGCUGCUCUUAUAUCCGUAGACAGCAAAGGGAUAGACAUUCGGGUUCGCCAGGGUGCACAGUUCAACAUCCAGAGACUUGCAUUUGAUGUACCAUACAAGGUGGAGACUCUAGAGGAGGCCAAGAGAGCACUCCAUAAGAUAAUCAAGACAAGCAGCAAAUAA